GGAGGGUAUAGCUCAGUGGUAGAGCGUGUGCUUAGCAUGCACGAGGUCCUGGGUUCCAUCCCCAGUACCUCCA
Molecule: transfer RNA, 73 nt
Filed under: Vicugna pacos (alpaca)
Lineage: Eukaryota; Metazoa; Chordata; Mammalia; Artiodactyla; Camelidae
Description: tRNA-Ala (AGC) (tRNA-Ala-AGC-640-1)
Rfam family: tRNA
About the family: Transfer RNA (tRNA) molecules are approximately 80 nucleotides in length. Their secondary structure includes four short double-helical elements and three loops (D, anti-codon, and T loops). Further hydrogen bonds mediate the characteristic L-shaped molecular structure. tRNAs have two regions of fundamental functional importance: the anti-codon, which is responsible for specific mRNA codon recognition, and the 3' end, to which the tRNAs corresponding amino acid is attached (by aminoacyl-tRNA synthetases). tRNAs cope with the degeneracy of the genetic code in two manners: having more than one tRNA (with a specific anti-codon) for a particular amino acid; and 'wobble' base-pairing, i.e. permitting non-standard base-pairing at the 3rd anti-codon position.
Source: RNAcentral